Mycena alexandri is the source of this 93-nucleotide non-coding RNA. The record is from the annotation of a GenBank genome assembly. Lineage: Eukaryota; Fungi; Basidiomycota; Agaricomycetes; Agaricales; Mycenaceae.
GCUCUGGUGGAUCAGUGUUAGAUCAUCCUCUCAAUGUAAAAUUGGGUCUUCGCUGUUCGGAGGAAGACGCGGGUUCGACUCCCGCCGGGGGCA